Molecule: transfer RNA, 86 nt
Filed under: Bacillota bacterium
Lineage: Bacteria; Bacillati; Bacillota
Description: Firmicutes bacterium (anaerobic digester metagenome) tRNA-Leu
Rfam family: tRNA
About the family: Transfer RNA (tRNA) molecules are approximately 80 nucleotides in length. Their secondary structure includes four short double-helical elements and three loops (D, anti-codon, and T loops). Further hydrogen bonds mediate the characteristic L-shaped molecular structure. tRNAs have two regions of fundamental functional importance: the anti-codon, which is responsible for specific mRNA codon recognition, and the 3' end, to which the tRNAs corresponding amino acid is attached (by aminoacyl-tRNA synthetases). tRNAs cope with the degeneracy of the genetic code in two manners: having more than one tRNA (with a specific anti-codon) for a particular amino acid; and 'wobble' base-pairing, i.e. permitting non-standard base-pairing at the 3rd anti-codon position.
Source: RNAcentral
GCGAGAGUGGCGGAAAGGCAGACGCGCCAGGUUCAGGACCUGGUGGGAGCGAUCCCGUGGGGGUUCAAAUCCCUUCUCUCGCACCA